This 492-nucleotide ribosomal RNA is filed under the name uncultured bacterium. RNAcentral describes it as "partial 16S ribosomal RNA". It matches the Rfam family "Bacterial small subunit ribosomal RNA", at positions 29 to 507 of the family's 1533-position model. The record is from RNAcentral.
AGUGAACGCUGGCGGUAGGCCUAACACAUGCAAGUCGAACGGCAGCACAGUAAGAGCUUGCUCUUACGGGUGGCGAGUGGCGGACGGGUGAGGAAUACAUCGGAAUCUACUUUUUCGUGGGGGAUAACGUAGGGAAACUUACGCUAAUACCGCAUACGACCUACGGGUGAAAGCAGGGGAUCUUCGGACCUUGCGCGAUUGAAUGAGCCGAUGUCGGAUUAGCUAGUUGGCGGGGUAAAGGCCCACCAAGGCGACGACCCGUAGCUGGUCUGAGAGGAUGAUCAGCCACACUGGAACUGAGACACGGCCCAGACUCCUACGGGAGGCAGCAGUGGGGAAUAUUGGACAAUGGGCGCAAGCCUGAUCCAGCCAUACCGCGUGGGUGAAGAAGGCCUUCGGGUUGUAAAGCCCUUUUGUUGGGAAAGAAAAGCAGCAGGUUAAUACCCCGCUGUUCUGACGGUACCCAAAGAAUAAGCACCGGCUAACUUCGUG